Molecule: ribosomal RNA, 459 nt
Filed under: uncultured bacterium
Lineage: Bacteria
Description: partial 16S ribosomal RNA
Rfam family: Bacterial small subunit ribosomal RNA
Source: RNAcentral
CCUACGGGGGGCUGCAGUGAGGAAUAUUGGUCAAUGGGAGAGAUCCUGAACCAGCAAAGCCGCGUGAGGGAAGACGGCCCUAUGGGUUGUAACCCUCUUUUGUCGGAGAACAAAACCCGGGACGUGUCCCGGACUGCGUGUAUCCGUAGAUAAAGCAUCGGCUAACUCCGUGCCAGCAGCCGCGGUAAUACGGAGGAUGCGAGCGUUAUCCGGGUUUAUUGGGUUUAAGGGGUGCGAAGCCGGUCCGGUAAGUCCGCGGUAACAUUGCGGGGCGCACCCCCGGCGCGCCGUGGAAACUGGCAGGCUUGAGUUGGCGAGAAGUACGCGGAAUGCGCGGUGUAGCGGUGAAAUGCAUAGAUAUCGCGCAGAACUCCGAUUGCGAAGGCAGCGUACCGGCGCCAGACUGACGCUGAGGCACGAAAGCGUGGGGAUCGAACAGGAUUAGAUACCCCAGUAGUC